Molecule: long non-coding RNA, 902 nt
Organism: Myotis davidii
Lineage: Eukaryota; Metazoa; Chordata; Mammalia; Chiroptera; Vespertilionidae
Exons: 3
Source: RefSeq, a predicted model, not a curated record
GAGGAAAGAACAUGGCCGGGGCCGAGCUGUGACUCCGAGUUACAUAACGUCCCAUGGUGUUCUUUCUGCCUCGCACACCCACCUACCCGUCCCCAGCGGCUCGGUGCCCAGGAGGCAGGCUUCGAUGAACUCUGCCUACACACUCCUGUGCCCUCCGGCUUCCAGUGCGCUCAGCUGGGCCACCACGUGAACGGCAGGGCCAGCACACACUUCUGAGCUCACUGCUGCAACCGGCUAACAAAAUUCCAGAUACCUGUCUGCCUGAGGCUACCAUUUACCGCCGAUAGGCUACAGAGAGCUUGGUUACAAGAAGUAGGUGUCAGGGUAACCAGGCCCCACGGACUGCCUGCCAGGCCCGUCGUCUUCCUGAAGCAACCACGCAGCGAGCCGGUGACACAGAGCCACGUGGCAGGCGCAUCAGGCAGAUUCUUGGUUGCAAACAACAUCCAUUUUGAUUGGGAUUGAGGGAAGUAGGAUCCCAGAAACUCUAGGAUUGUGAGAGAAUCAGGCUUGUAAGCCCGAACUGGGCCAUUAGACCGCUCCCACUGCACGCCAGAGCUGAGUCUAGGGUGCUCCCCUGGGACCAUGGCCACUGCGCUCCUGAAGCCUGGAAGUUUCCACGUCCUCACUGGGAUGGAUUCCGUGCUGUGCCUGUGCCUGUGCCUUGACUGGUCCAAAUCAAACUCUUCUGUGAGUGCAUCAUUGCAUCCCUACUCCCUGGCUGCAGGAACACCUUUCUGUCUCAGAGGGUCCCCUGCUCCAAUGAGAUGCCCUGAGGCUGCACUUGCAAUGAUUUUCUGCUGAGACACCGAGUCCUUGAGUGGGACUCAGACGCCAACACUCUUAGCAGAACAGGCCCCAGGGAGAGGCGGCAGCACUGGAGGGGGUGUGUUCUCUGAGGG